RNAcentral lists this ribosomal RNA (519 nucleotides) under uncultured eukaryote. RNAcentral describes it as "SSU rRNA". It matches the Rfam family "Eukaryotic small subunit ribosomal RNA", at positions 1161 to 1698 of the family's 1831-position model. The record is from RNAcentral.
AGGGCACCACCAGGAGUGGAGCCUGCGGCUUAAUUUGACUCAACACGGGAAAACUCACCCGGCCCGGACACUGGAAGGAUUGACAGAUUGAGAGCUCUUUCUUGAUUCAGUAGGUGGUGGUGCAUGGCCGUUCUUAGUUGGUGGAGUGAUUUGUCUGGUUAAUUCCGAUAACGAACGAGACUCUAGCCUAUUAAAUAGAUCGUUGGCUUACAAACGCCGGCGAGACUUCUUAGAGGGACAGGCGGCGAUUCAGCCGCACGAAACAGAGCAAUAACAGGUCUGUGAUGCCCUUAGAUGUCCGGGGCCGCACGCGCGCUACACUGAAGUGAUUAGCGUGCAUUUUGAAACCUACUCUGUCAAGAGUGGGGAACCCAAUGAACCUUCUUCGUGAUUGGGAUAGGGGAUUGUAAUUAUUCCCCUUGAACGAGGAAUUCCCAGUAAGCGCGAAUCAUAAGUUUGCGCUGAUUACGUCCCUGCCCUUUGUACACACCGCCCGUCGCUACUACCGAUUGAAUGUUU